RNAcentral lists this ribosomal RNA (482 nucleotides) under uncultured bacterium. RNAcentral describes it as "partial 16S ribosomal RNA". It matches the Rfam family "Bacterial small subunit ribosomal RNA", at positions 30 to 507 of the family's 1533-position model. The record is from RNAcentral.
AUUGAACGCUGGCGGCAUGCUUUACACAUGCAAGUCGAACGGUAACAGGCCGCAAGGUGCUGUCGAGUGGCGAACGGGUGCGUAAUGCAUCGGAACGUGCCCAGUCGUGGGGGAUAACUACUCGCUAGAGUAGCUAAUACCGCAUACGAUCUAUGGAUGAAAGCGGGGGACCGUAAGGCCUCGCGCGAUUCGUGCGGUCGAUGUCAGAUUAGGUAGUUGGUGGGGUAAAGGCUCACCAAGCCAACGAUCUGUAGCUGGUCUGAGAGGACGACCAGCCACACUGGAACUGAGACACGGCCCAGACUCCUACGGGAGGCAGCAGUAGGGAAUUUUGGGCAAUGGGCGCAAGCCUGAUCCAGCAAUGCCGCGUGCAGGAAGAAGGCCUUCGGAUUGUAAACUGCUUUUAUACGGAACGAAACUGCUCUGAUUAAUACCCGGAGCUAAUGACGGUACCGAAAGAAUAAGCACCGGCUAACUACGUG